CGACCCUUAUUAAGCCGAGGGUCACCUAGCCAACUGACGUUGUUAGUGAACCGAAAUUUGUUCACAAUCAAAUACAGCCAAUCACGAUUAUUGUGAUUGGCUUUUUUUCU
RNAcentral lists this small RNA (110 nucleotides) under Vibrio sp. 16. RNAcentral describes it as "Qrr". It matches the Rfam family "Qrr RNA". Rfam says of the family: This family represents a set of small RNAs (the Qrr RNAs) that are thought to be involved in the regulation of quorum sensing in Vibrio species. It is believed that these RNAs, guided by a protein, Hfq, can mediate the destabilisation of the quorum-sensing master regulators LuxR/HapR mRNAs. Lineage: Bacteria; Pseudomonadati; Pseudomonadota; Gammaproteobacteria; Vibrionales; Vibrionaceae. The record is from RNAcentral.